RNAcentral lists this ribosomal RNA (301 nucleotides) under uncultured bacterium. RNAcentral describes it as "partial 16S ribosomal RNA". It matches the Rfam family "Bacterial small subunit ribosomal RNA", at positions 509 to 809 of the family's 1533-position model. The record is from RNAcentral.
CAGCAGCCGCGGUAAUACGUAGGGCGCAAGCGUUGUCCGGAAUUAUUGGGCGUAAAGAGCUCGUAGGCGGUCUGUCGCGUCUGGUGUGAAAUCCCGAGGCUCAACCUCGGGCUUGCAUCGGGUACGGGCAGACUAGAGUGCGGUAGGGGAGACUGGAAUUCCUGGUGUAGCGGUGGAAUGCGCAGAUAUCAGGAGGAACACCGAUGGCGAAGGCAGGUCUCUGGGCCGCAACUGACGCUGAGGAGCGAAAGCAUGGGGAGCGAACAGGAUUAGAGACCCCAGUAGUCCCUGUCUCUUAUAA